UCCACGGUAGUAUAGUGGUGAGUAUUCCCGCCUGUCACGCGAGCGACCCGGGUUCCAUUCCCGGCCGGGGAG
Trichuris muris is the source of this 72-nucleotide non-coding RNA. The record is from Rfam. NCBI's taxonomy places the organism in Eukaryota, Metazoa, Nematoda, Enoplea, Trichinellida, Trichuridae.